UCGGUCUGCGCCAGUCUUAAUGCUCCUUACUGCUCUAAGGUAACUUCAACAUACAUAAUGGGUCCUGCGCCCAAAGAGGCUCGCCGUUUGAACACGGAGUGUUAUCAAACUGCUAUGAAAAGAGUAGACUGAGCGGCAUGCUGUGGCGCUGCUGCGGUUGAGAGGACUACAGUCGCCUUUUGCCAAGUAUACUUCCCCGUCCUCUUGGAAGCGAUGGAUUUCGCCCAGUAUACCGUUCUGUUCGUCCUGGUUCAGUACAAGUAGGACGUAUCUUGUCUAAUGGGGAGAUGAUGGCAACACGGGUUUUUUUCCAGACAGCAUAUUCAGGUUACAAGCUUCAGCUUAUUCUGAGGAAACCCACAUCAACUAUGCAAGGACGCACUGUUUACUUUGGACAAGUGAAUUAAAGAACAUAGUAGUUAAUAUGAAAGCAGCCGUUCCAUGGUUGUGCUUAAGUAUAUCAAUAUCGUACAAAAGCUAUGGCAUCGUUUGCUCUUCGGAAGCUGGCCCACCGUCCCCACAAUCGAACCGUCUUUUCGAAGUAUGAGGCGCUCAGCGAAGCAGAGGGAGAAAUAUCGUCGUGAAUGCUUCAGUUAUCUUCAUCUAGCGGAAGUCCUUUUUCCUUUUAUUAGUAUAUGUACAACAUCCACCGGGACAAUGAUGGACUAUGGUAGGCGUAACAAAAAUAUAAAUAUUUCUAUUUUAGCUGAUACCGCUUUAUACCUCAAAACGCACUGUUUACGAAGGAAAACCUCUCUUGAGGACCGCCGUAUAAUUUGUUAUCUAACAUUUGGUUUCUUCAGCAUUUUAGUGGCUUUAUGUUUAGCUGCGCACAGCAUGAAGGAACAACCGCUGAUGUUGUCUCCUGAGUGUGCUCGGCCACCGAACAGGGAGAGUUAUUAUGAAAGGACGAUUUAAAUGAAAGGUUAACCAAAUGCAUUGAAACAAUCAGCGCAAUUUUUUGUGCCUAACGCAGUUAGUGCUUUGCGGGAUGCAUUUUUCACGUGUCUGAUGUACAACUCGAAUAAAAGAAACUUGGUCAAAAUAGCUUUUAAUCUUCCAUUAGAUAAUAUCAAAGUGCUGUCUUCUCUUGCUGCGAUUUUGUCACCCCGGAAAACCUACGUAUGUUCCCAGCAAAACCACAUUUCAUGACGAGAUAGUGCUUCCGCAGUUGCAUCCUUUUCUUUUUCUCCUUUUUUCGUAAAGACGGCUUCUUUUUCCUAAGAGGAUGUUCUGUCCUUACACCUGUAUAUCCACAGCGACCCGCAUCUCUGGGAAGAGCCUGGCGAUUUUUGUUUCAAAUAAUUUCUCAAAAGUUGUUGACCUUAUUCCACAACAGGGUCUGUGCCUUGGACCGUGCGCGGACUUCCAGUCGCCGUUAACAAUAACGCUUACAGCCAAUGAAUAGGAGUAAAAAGUUCUGAUCCGCAACCGACGUUACAAGUCGUGCUCGUUAUCUAUAGUAGGUUUUGUUUAAAUGGGGAUAGAAGAUAUAUCUUAUACCAUAUAUAUAUAUAUGGUAAACUCUUCU
This is a long non-coding RNA of Varroa destructor (honeybee mite), 1531 nucleotides long. RefSeq lists it as uncharacterized. Lineage: Eukaryota; Metazoa; Arthropoda; Arachnida; Mesostigmata; Varroidae. The record is from RefSeq and is a predicted model, not a curated record.